RNAcentral lists this ribosomal RNA (423 nucleotides) under uncultured bacterium. Its description in RNAcentral is "partial 16S ribosomal RNA". It matches the Rfam family "Bacterial small subunit ribosomal RNA", at positions 361 to 776 of the family's 1533-position model. The record is from RNAcentral.
AUAUUCGUCAAUGGGGGAAACCCUGAACGAGCGAUGCCGCGUGAGUGAUGAAGGUCCUUUGGAUUGUAAAACUCUGUUGUAAAGGAAGAAACUCUAUCAUAGGAAAUGAUGAUAGACUGACGGUACUUUGCCAGAAAGCCCCGCCUAACUACGUGCCAGCAGCCGCGGUAAUACGUAGGGGGCGAGCGUUAUCCGAAUUUAUUGGGCGUAAAGCGUGUGUAGGCGGUUUAUUAAGUUUAAGAUCAAAGCCCGGAGCUUAACUCCGGUUCGUCUUAAAAACUGGUAGACUUGAGUGCAGUAGAGGCAAGUGGAAUUUCUAGUGUAGCGGUUAAAUGCGUAGAUAUUAGAAGGAACACCAGUGGCGAAGGCGGCUUGCUGGGCUGUUACUGACGCUGAGACACGAAAGCGUGGGGAGCAAAUAGG